RNAcentral lists this ribosomal RNA (112 nucleotides) under uncultured bacterium. Its description in RNAcentral is "partial 16S ribosomal RNA". It matches the Rfam family "Bacterial small subunit ribosomal RNA", at positions 1379 to 1482 of the family's 1533-position model. The record is from RNAcentral.
CCUUGUACACACCGCCCGUCAAGCCAUGGAAGCCGGGGGUACCCAAAGCCAGUAUUCUAACUUCGAGCAAUCGGAGAGGGAACUGUUUAAGGUAAAACCGGUGACUGAGGCU